GUGAGGAAUAUUGGUCAAUGGGCGAGAGCCUGAACCAGCCAUGACGCGUGCAGGAAGAAUGCCCUAUGGGUUGUAAACUGCUUUUAUUUGGGAAUAAACCUUUCUACGUGUAGAAAGCUGAAGGUACUAAAUGAAUAAGCACCGGCUAACUCCGUGCCAGCAGCCGCGGUAAUACGGAGGGUGCAAGCGUUAUCCGGAAUCAUUGGGUUUAAAGGGUCCGCAGGCGGAUUAAUAAGUCAGUGGUGAAAUCUCAUAGCUUAACUAUGAAACUGCCAUUGAUACUGUUAGUCGUGAAUAUGGUCGAUGUGGGCAGAAUAUGACAUGUAGCGGUGAAAUGCUUAGAUAUGUUAUAGAACACCGAUAGCGAAGGCAGCUCACAAGGCCAUUAUUGACGCUCAUGAACGAAAGCGUGGGGAGCAAACAGGAUUAGAAACCCGAGUAGUCC
RNAcentral lists this ribosomal RNA (445 nucleotides) under uncultured bacterium. RNAcentral describes it as "partial 16S ribosomal RNA". It matches the Rfam family "Bacterial small subunit ribosomal RNA", at positions 354 to 796 of the family's 1533-position model. The record is from RNAcentral.